RNAcentral lists this ribosomal RNA (336 nucleotides) under uncultured Pseudomonadota bacterium. RNAcentral's name for it is "bacterial SSU rRNA". It matches the Rfam family "Bacterial small subunit ribosomal RNA", at positions 29 to 351 of the family's 1533-position model. Lineage: Bacteria; Pseudomonadati; Pseudomonadota. The record is from RNAcentral.
AACGAACGCUGGCGGUAUGCUUAACACAUGCAAGUCGUACGUGAAAGGGACUUCGGUCCCGAGUAAAGUGGCGCACGGGUGAGUAACACGUGGAUAAUCUACCCGACAAUCCGGGAUAACAGUUCGAAAGGGCUGCUAAUACCUGAUAAGCCCACGUCGUCUUCGGAUGAUGAGGGAAAAGGUGGGGACCUUCGGGCCUGCCGUUGUCGGAUGAGUCCGCGUCCCAUUAGCUAGUUGGUAGGGUAAUGGCCUACCAAGGCUACGAUGGGUAGCUGGUCUGAGAGGAUGAUCAGCCACACUGGAACUGAGACACGGUCCAGACACCUACGGGUGCUG